CAGUUACUUUAUUAAAGUUUUCAUCUGUUGAACAUUCAAAAUAUAACUUUUCAGCUUCUUUACGUUUUCUAGCAGCCUCUGUACAUUCACUGUCCCACCAAGGUGGAGAAGGUAUUCCACAGCCUACUUUUUUCAUCGGAAAAAGUUCAUUAGCUAUCUCUAUAAACGCUCCGGCAAAUGUCUCUGCACAAAAGGUUUCAUUUCCAGGUGUUACAGGAGGGAAACAACAAAUUUUACUUUCCAUUCGAGAUUUAAAAGUAUUCCAGUCGGCAUUCAAUAAUCUAUAUUUCAAACGAAUCCGUUUUCGAACAGUUUCGUGUUGAAAAGGCAGAGUGAUAAUAAGACUAUAAUGAUCACUUCCAAAAGUGUAUUUAAGGGCUUCCCAAGAAAGAUAUGGAGCAAGAUUUGGGGUGCAAAUUGAUAAGUCUGGAGCACUCUUUCCCUGUGAAGGAGAGGUGCGACGGGUAGGUGAACCAGUAUUAAGGAUACAAAGGAAUUACGCUCCUGCAGUUCCACUGGAGAACUUUGGAAUUUAGGUCCAUUAUGGAGUGUUUUAGAGAUUUGUGCAAGAGAAUCAAUGAGAGCUGCGUUGGACGGUGGAAUUAAGUUUGACUGCGAAAGAAUCGACCUAAAGACACAGGAUGCAAAGAAACCCCAUCAUCAGGCGAUGUCAGCUUAUGCUGGAUGUGUAAUGUGUAAGGAGCUGCAUCAGAACUAAUAUAAGUCCUCCGAGCAAUUUGAGACUGUGGAGAGUGGUUGUCAGCGACAGUUGAAAUAUUUUGUGACGCAACAGUUUCAUUAAAUAAAGGCAAAGAGAUAUUCUGA
RNA transcript from Pectinophora gossypiella (pink bollworm), 825 nucleotides. RefSeq lists it as uncharacterized. Lineage: Eukaryota; Metazoa; Arthropoda; Insecta; Lepidoptera; Gelechiidae. The record is from RefSeq and is a predicted model, not a curated record. The transcript is spliced from 3 exons.